Physcomitrium patens is the source of this 1945-nucleotide long non-coding RNA. RefSeq lists it as uncharacterized. The record is from RefSeq and is a predicted model, not a curated record. Lineage: Eukaryota; Viridiplantae; Streptophyta; Bryopsida; Funariales; Funariaceae.
GAGCGUCUGGAUCGUUUCAUUACAAAGUGGGCGUGUCAUGUGAUUGAAAUCCUGAGUUCUGUGUUGCAGAGAAGUCAGGAUUGUAUGGUUACAGAAAUAACAUCACUUGUGACCCAAUCGUCUACCCACUGAAGGUUGUGAAAAUAAGAGUAGAUUUAGCACAGGAUUUGAUGGUCUGUAUGAGAACGUUGUGAAAUGUUGAAUUGAACUGGAAGUGGGAUUUUUUAGGGUUUUGAUCCGAGUUGUAGGACACUCAUGUAUGCUGACAGCAGCACACCCUUCCGAACUGUUUCGGUACCCGAAAAGAAUACAUGAGUCGGAAAAAGAAGUUGGAGCUCUUCAACGUCUAUAAUGUUCCAAAAAGCUGGCUACCUGGGAAAUUCAAAGCAGCACUUCUAACUGCCUGACUGCCACAAUUGAUGGAGGCAAGAUCUGGAAUCACAAAAAACUAGGAUCCCCAUGGAGAUGGUUUGUGCUUCAACGCAUACGAAAAGUUAAGCACUUGAGACCAGAGAGUACUCUACCAUCGCAGGUGGAGAUUGUAGGUCCAGAUAUGAAACGUGGAUUGCACCGCUGGUUUCUGCAUGCUUCAUCCAAAAUUAUCAGGGUUGCAGCUGUAGCGCCACCGACGUGGACGUAGGCCUGUAUGCUUGGGAUCUUCUUCAUGUCUGUUCUCGAAUUGCAUGAGGCCCCCGCUCUAUCCAGGCUUUAUUUCCACACCAUGGACUGCACAUGAAGUGUUGGUUGCGACGAGGUUUCCACGCUGUCAGAUCUCCGAAAUGGCAUCCAUGUGGCCGCCUGGUUUCUCUUUUCUGCUUGCCAUAAGAUGGCCCCUCAUCUCGUGAUCACGAAAACGAUCUCCAAGCUCACUUUUGCAGCGAACCUGAAGCUUUUGUUAUAUAACUGAAGAUGUACUUUAGCCUUGGUGAGCAGCUUUGAUUCAAGCCAGAGCGUCGCUUUCGGUGCUGUGCCCGAGACAAUUUGGUUCACUCAACCACGCCCUCAUGUUCAUAUCUUUUGAAGAAACGCUGAGCUCUAUCGGCUGCCCAUCAUUGAAGCAAAUGAUAUGCUAUCCCUCGCGAAGCAACGAAUGAACUGGGACAUGAAGCCACCCCUGAUCAGUAUGUGGCUCGUUUGCAAUGCAUGGAAUGAGAGGAUUGUACAUUGUUUAUUUCAUGCAACUGAUUCUCCCUGGGAAGCACUUAUUGUGUGACUGCUUUUGCACCAUCUGGUGUAACUGAGUAAAUGAUCUUUUUCUAACUCUUGCGCUCAAAUCCUAGCGUGUAAACAUAUCGCCAAUUUCUCAGAUUCGACAGACGCAAGUGACAAUUUCCAAUGGUCGGAAACCUGACAAAAACAAGGACCUCGGUGUCGACAUCAGAAUUCAGAAGCCGAUGAACCCACGACGUGAUGUUUGGCGGUGAUUUUACAGCUGCUUUUUUCCAUGUCCUUGCUCUUCGAGGCGAAGCUUUCGAACAAAGGACAACAAACUCACUAAGCACCCCUGAUGUUUUUACAGCGUCAAACCAUGGAUAUAAUGUGUGAUUCUUUUAACGAAUUAAUUUUGAUCAUUCAAAAAAGUUCAUGUGUGCAGUAUGUUUCUUUUUAAAUACACCCUUCAUGGGCUUCCAGACUGCCAAAGUUUGCAGCUAGGGAUGGAUCAGAGAAAAGGGGAUUCGCCAUAGAUGGAGGUUUGUUGCGAUGCUUAUGUCUCAUAUGCGUCUUUCACAAGAACAUGAAGAAAUAACGCCACAUAAUACCUGGAAAAAGAGAGUGAGUAUCCCCAUCAAGUGCCUUCGAUUUGAUUGUAGUGCCAUGUUCCUACGCAGUCUGAUAUCAUUCCACAUUGUCCCAUGUUAGUGGCUUUGCAUCCCGGCAUGUAUCCAAAAGGGUCCAGAGAAAUAGUUGAAAUAAUAAAGAGUUACUCAUGCAAAGCUCCCAAUAA